Molecule: non-coding RNA, 2019 nt
Organism: Schizosaccharomyces pombe (fission yeast)
Lineage: Eukaryota; Fungi; Ascomycota; Schizosaccharomycetes; Schizosaccharomycetales; Schizosaccharomycetaceae
Source: the annotation of a GenBank genome assembly
CGUCAACCUUUGACGCUGGUUCAGCAGGCGUUGUUUCUUCUGUUUUCACGUUGCUUAAGGAAGUUUGAUAAAUACUACUUGAAUCCAUAUCAUCUGUGUAUGUGUUACGAUAGGAUUCAUAGGCAUUUGAAGACGACGCAGAAGCAUCAAAAUCAUCAGUGGCAGUAACACUGGUAUCUACAGCAUCAUCGUCGGCCACUUCGGGCUCACCAUUUUUGCAGUUGGCGGGAACAAGAAGUUCACACCUUGCAUGGCAUUUGAAGCCACAAUCUACACGUGUUUUGUUAGUUAACGAAAGAAAGCAAAUAUUUCGUACUUUUGCAAACACAUCCACGCUUCGAUAACCCCCAAAUAAUUUCACGACAGUAACUGCAACUUGUCGGAAGUUUAAAACUAACAUGUUUGAAAUCAUGAAAACGACCUCCUUCUUCUAAAUUAUUCGCAACUGACGUGAUCUUGUUGAUACGAACCUCUAAAUCUUCUAUUCUGGCCUUUACCAUGAGCUCUUUCCCUUCUAGAUUUAUCGAAGCCUUUUUAGAUUCAAAUGACUGGUUAGCACUAUUUGGAUCAUCGACGCGUAAACCUUCCAAUUGUGAAUCUAACGAUACAAGCUCGCCUUUCUGUUUUCCAAGGUCAUUUUUGGAGUGGACCAGUAAAUUUCGGAGGUAGUUUUUACAUGAACCAUCCACCACCAGUGCAUCCGUGUCAUGCCAGAUAGGACUAGGUUCAAAAUGCAAGUCAGCAGGAAGUGCCCAAUUCUUUGAAUUGUGCCUUCCGAACAUGGCAGAAUCAAGGACUGGUUCAUUUUUUGCAAUUUCUGAUUGAAUUUCAACGGUUCUUUGGGAUAAGGUAUCAUGGAGAGACUUUUCAAUUGAAAAGCUGUUACACCAUAUUUCAUUUAAAUUCGAAACCCUGUAUUCGUUCAAUACUUGCAUAUGAUUAAGGAGCGUUGGUAGAGUUUCAUUAUAAAACUUUUGCUUGUGGGCGUUGUAUACAAGCAUACGAAGUAGGUAUUUAUUUUUCUUAUCGAGCAUAUCACUUUCAGAUAAUUUUAAAUUUCUUUGAGUUUUUUGCUCUCGAUAUUUAUCGUUUUUUUGCCUUGCGCUUUCUAAAUCAUCGCAGGCCUCAUGGUAACUGACCUUGGCUCUCUUCACACUGUUUAACAAUGUCUCCUUUUCGGAUGAGAAUUUUUUAUAUAAAUCAUCAUAAACUUUUCUUAAAGCCUCUAUAUGAGACUCUAGUUUCUUCAGUUUUUCAGCAAUGUCCAAUGAAUAGUCAUCGGAUAGCUUUUGAUGAGUUUUUGAUGAGCGCGUUAACUCAUCCAAAAUUUUAGACCAUGUUGUUAAAGAAGCACUAUAAAAUUAGCCUGUGAACAGGAAUUCAAUAUCCAUCUAACUUCAAUUGCUUGACAGGUUCCAAUAUUUUACAUACCAUUCUAAAGAGCCAGCAGACAUUGCCGGAGUAUCUCCGACUGAAAGGGCUGAUGAUUUUCUGGAUUUCUUCUCCCCAUAUUUAUUCGAAAGACUGGCUAAUUUCUGAGCAUAUUCUUUUUCUAGCAACAAAGUUAGUCAUUGAAAUUUAACCAUUGUCGUUUCUUAUUUACCAAUAGAACUUCUUUCUUUGUAGUACAAUUGAAUAUCUUCAAGCCAUUUCGCGCCAUUAUUAAUCUUUGUUACAAUGUGUUAAUUGUUGAACUGUCUUCAUUUUCAUUCUUGGCAUACCCAACUGUCGACAACUUUAAAAUCGUCCUUUUAUAUAUUAGUAAAUAUGCCAAAUAACUAAAACACCUUACGUGAAGUUCAUCACUAAAUUUGUAUGUUUCCAGGCUCAUUAUCCAGUAUUAUCUACACGUUUGAUAUCGCUGCAAUAAAAAUUUGUACCGGAUAUAAAACAAUUAAAAAGAAAGUUUGACGGAAGAAAUUGUGACAAUUUUUGGCUUUACGUUACGAAUGUUGAUGAAAAGGAAGUACGGUGGUGAAUCGAAACCUAUAUUGUUCAACUUUCACUUAAGGAGUAACU